This 460-nucleotide ribosomal RNA is filed under the name uncultured bacterium. RNAcentral describes it as "partial 16S ribosomal RNA". It matches the Rfam family "Bacterial small subunit ribosomal RNA", at positions 338 to 795 of the family's 1533-position model. The record is from RNAcentral.
CCUACGGGAUGCAGCAGUGAGGAAUAUUGGUCAAUGGACGAGAGUCUGAACCAGCCAAGUAGCGUGAAGGAUGACUGCCCUAUGGGUUGUAAACUUCUUUUAUAUGGGAAUAAAAUGUUCCACGUGUGGGAUUUUGUAUGUACCAUAUGAAUAAGGAUCGGCUAACUCCGUUCCAGCAGCCGCGGUAAUACGGAGGAUCCGAGCGUUAUCCGGAUUUAUUGGGUUUAAAGGGAACGUAGGUGGAUUGUUAAGUCAGUUGUGAAAGUUUGCGGCUCAACCGUAAAAUUGCAGUUGAAACUGGCAGUCUUGAGUACAGUAGAGGUGGGCGGAAUUCGUGGUGUAGCGGUGAAAUGCUUAGAUAUCACGAAGAACUCCGAUUGCGAAGGCAGUUCACUGGACUGCAACUGACACUGAGGCUCGAAAGUGUGGGUAUCAAACAGGAGUAGAUACCCCUGUAGUC